GGAAGACUGCCACCGGGUAGUGAGAAUGCAAAAGCAUUCGUUAACACAUCGUUAGGUCUUGGAAGAUGUGUUUAACGGGUGCUUUUUUUGU
RNAcentral lists this non-coding RNA (91 nucleotides) under unclassified sequences. The record is from RNAcentral.